This 3692-nucleotide long non-coding RNA is filed under the name Equus caballus (horse). RNAcentral describes it as "lncRNA (ENSECAG00000054463.1)". Lineage: Eukaryota; Metazoa; Chordata; Mammalia; Perissodactyla; Equidae. The record is from RNAcentral.
CCUGCCUGCAGGCAGCUGAGGAGAACAGGCCUACACAGAGUCCCACCUCCUCCUCCCUACUAUCUGGCCUGUCCAGUCUGGAGAUGUCCCCAGUUCGUUGGUGAAUUUAUUUAGGCUCAAAUGGCCUUUCCAUGGUCACAAAGCCAGCUGAACGAGGAGGAAAGAACCCAGGUUCACCGCAGGGUUCAGAAGGCAGCAAGGGCUGCAGCAGCCCAGCAGGGGACUGCUGAACAUGGCAGUGCUCAGGCCCCUGUCACCCACGUGUGCCUUAGACCCGCCCCUGUGAAGCCCCGCCCCCUGCGUACAGACUGUGGUUUCCAGGGCCACAUAAACAAGCCAGUUCUUUUUCCCUUAGUUCAUUCAUUAAUUCCUUUAAUGUCUGUAAUUGUAGCACACGUUUUGUCCUUUGUCAGCCUUCAUUACAGUGAGGUUUACAUUUGGUAGUUUUUUUAUUCUUUGUUUUGACCUUUAUUUUGGUAGCAGACAGUUUUUUUUCAGUCAAAAUUAGAGUGACCUUUAUUAACAGAAAAAAAUAGGUCAUAAUCCCAUCACAGAUUAUUGCAUUUCCCACGGAAUUUUCUGUUGAGUCCAUUAUAUCAAAAAAACCCAAUGAUUGUUGAGGGAAACACUUCCUUGAAUACUCCCAUCGAAAGCCUGUUGCCCAUGAUUUGAUGAAUUGACGUUCAUCAGAGAGAAAGACGUUCUGAGAACGAAGGAGGCAAGGCAAGGUGUGACAUAUCAGUGUUAGACUCAAGUCUUAGCUGCUACAGCUUUGCCUGCUUAAUGCUUGGACUGUCUGUGAGUAAAAACCCAGAGAAAGACAGCUGCCAACUGAGUUAUUGACAAUUCAGCCACUGGAAAAAUGAGCCCUGCUGGACACAUCCCAGAGAAAGCUGUACAGAGAUGUGAUGCUGGGAAAUAUCAGUCAUCUGGUCUCCAUGGACUGAAGAUUCUGCAUUCUGUCCUUGAACUUGGGCAUGGACAUCAGCAUCCAGAGGUCCUCAAAAUUUUGGACAAACAAUCCAGAUUUCUUCCUUGUCUGGUGAAGGACCUUCAGUGUUUUCCCUGUUCAGGGUGUUGUUGCCUGAGCUGAACUUCAGUGUUCUCCUCAUUCUUCCUCAGUAGCCUGUCCUGGACUUGAUGAUAAUGCAGGUUAUUAUCAUGGAACUCAAAAUCCACCUGCCUUUGUUGCAUGAACAGGGUAUCAGCAUUGCAAAUCAGAUGUGAUUUUCCAGUUGGAGCAAGAAGAGCUGUGGAGUGAAGGAACAGGAUUUUUCCAAGGCCAGAGUCCAGGCAGGGAGAGUGGCCGUAAAGAACAAGAAAUGAUAGACACACAGCUUAUCAGCAAGGACACAUCUGCAAACACACCAAUGAUCCAGCGGGCAGGGGAGUCCCUUUCAUCCUGGCUGCCUCUGCCCUGUUCCUCACAUGCAUGGAGAAGCCGCGGAGAAGCUCCCAGGACAAGGGACACACAAAGCAGCCACAGCCGGGCCAUGUUGCUGGAACAUUAAGAAAACUCUUUCUUGUGUUAACUGUCUCCACAGGAUGGGGUAGAGAGCUGGGAGAGAGCCAGUCCACCGAUAACCUCUUGGCAGGGCUUCAUCUAGAAGCACCCUCAUCUCUGCUCCCCUUCCCAGGACUUUGCUUCCACUUUUAAGACAGUUCAAGAAAAUCAGUAGAACACCUGCAAAGACCAGUCCUGGGUUGUUUGCAGCUUCCUUGAAAACAGUCCCCUAACUGGAGACCAAGUCUGGGCUGCUGAAGAUGGAAGGAGGAGUGCACUGCUCUCCUUGGACUGUGAGAGAGGCUCUGAGUGGGUGGAAUUGUGGGGAGAAGACAGGAGCAGCGGCUGAAAGGCAGGAGACAUUGAGUGUAUGUGAAUGACAGUGCAUGGCCUGGGUCAGGAGGAUCCCGGAGGUUACAUGUCAGGUCGUGGUGAUGCCCAGGAAGAACAUGCUCCUGCAGGCAAUAGGGAGCCAGUGCAGAUAUGGGAGGAGGGAGCUGCUCGAAGAGGAGUGAUGUUAGAGACUCCUGGGGAUCUGUAGAUUUCUUCCCCCAUCACGGGUAGGUGAGCAGCUGUCCCUGCCUGAACGCCCCUCCCUGCUGAUGGAGCUGCCUCCCCUGCCCUCAGAUACACCUCCCCCGCUUCAGACUGGGAUCCCGCUUCACCCUUCAUCUGGCAGAACGUCCACGGCUGUUGUUGCCUUCACAUCAUUUGCUAGGUAGUCGGAACAGGCGACACAGAACACAGAUCUGGUUACUCAGCAGCACUUUCUCCAGGGCGGUCCUCUGAGUAGCUGCAGAAGCAUCUGACCGCCACUGGCUGACAUUACAGCUGACCCAUUUUAGACCCUUUCUCACAGAAAGAGGAAGGAAAGAGCAGAAAAAAGAAAACAACGUGAGUCCAGUCCACUCUCCCAGAGCCUUGCUGCAGCUUCCGGGGAGCUGGGAGCGCGUCUCUGCGCUGAAGAGCAAGGCCUGUCCUGCGGCUGCUGCUCUGGUCCAUCCUGCCCUGGGGUCUGCACAGGGGGUCCGCACAGCAGGUUCCAGGAGUGGCCUGGCCCUGCAGGGGGGCUAGUCCUCCAGAGCGGGGGGGAACACCAGUCCUUGGUGGGAGCUUUGGGGAGGUGGGAGGUGGGAGCCCCAGUCACUGUGGGACCCCAGCGGGGGUGAGGGUCCUGGCAGGGAAUGCACCAAUGAGUGUCUCCAUGAGGCCCGUUAGGCUGGGGCCUGGAACCUGCAUCUUAAUCCUCAGGGAGAGAGUGGGGUUGGGGCUGUGCACUGGGGGGUCCCCGUGGGUUUCUCACUUCCUCCCCCGACUCUGGGUAAGAAUAGGGGUGUUUAGAGCCCCUCACCAGUACAAGCCCCUCACUCCAGCGUCUCUGGAAGACCCUCGGGCUAAGGGAUCCGGUCAGCAAGCCCCACCCCCUCCUCAGGGCGCCCUCAUGGAACUGGAGGGAGGGGGAGGUUGGGGCAGGAGUUGGUGGGAGGCACGCCAGAGGGCAGGUGGGACCCUUGGAACGCACCCCGGAGGGGACCAGGGCCUCUGACAGCCUUUCUAAACUGAAAGGGAGCCACGGGGCUGCACCUCUGGGGUCGCUGUCAGUUCUUUACCUGGUGAGAACCGGGCAGCCGGGGCCCUCUUGUCACCGUGUCCCCUUCCGCGGCGCUGGGAGCCCCACCUGCCUGGGGGCGAGCAGCUCGCGGUUCCUAUUUGAUAAUGAUGACCAUGUCCCUUAUUCCUUUAAGGGUUAACGAUUGGCGAGCAUCUAGUUCAGAUGCAGUUUAAGCAAGGGAUAAUCAGUUUUUAAAUUAUUUAAUGACAAAUAUUUAAAUCAAGUGUUAAUAACUCAACUCAUUAUGAAUUUAAUAGUUACAAUAGUAAUACCUAAAAAACGGGAAAUUCUCUCAUUUUACCACGUUUUCUCUCUCGAGCCAUUUCCGUGGAAAGGACAGGAAGGCGAGCCAGCGCGCAGAGCGUUCCCGCCUCCACGUCUGAGCGGAUCCAGGAGCAGCAACAAUGAUGAGGUCGGAUGCUCCCGCGAUGCCCUGGUCACCGCCCUCCUUUCCGAGGGGCUUUGUGAAGUGGGGGCCUCGACCCGGAGGAAGCCUCCUCCCAGGGCUCCGGCCGCACCUGCGGGCUCCGCGGGGACGACCCCGUUGCCCACACACAACCCCUCCACGGUCCUUUG